RNAcentral lists this ribosomal RNA (239 nucleotides) under uncultured Lactobacillus sp. RNAcentral describes it as "partial 16S ribosomal RNA". It matches the Rfam family "Bacterial small subunit ribosomal RNA", at positions 122 to 354 of the family's 1533-position model. The record is from RNAcentral. Lineage: Bacteria; Bacillati; Bacillota; Bacilli; Lactobacillales; Lactobacillaceae.
UAACCUGCCCAAGAGAUCGGGAUAACACCUGGAAACAGAUGCUAAUACCGGAUAACAACAGAUGAUGCCUAUCAACUGUUUAAAAGAUGUUCUGCUAUCACUCUUGGAUGGACCUGCGGUGCAUUAGCUAGUUGGUAGGGUAACGGCCUACCAAGGCGAUGAUGCAUAGCCGAGUUGAGAGACUGAUCGGCCACAUUGGGACUGAGACACGGCCCAAACUCCUACGGGAGGCAGCAGAC